ACAGGGAUUACCUCAGUAACGGCGAGUGAAGCGGUAACAGCUCAAAUUUGAAAUCUCCCUUCCGGGCGAGUUGUAAUUUGUAGAAGAUGCUUUGGGUAUGGCCCCGGUCUAAGUCCGUUGGAACACGGUAUCAUAGAGGGUGAGAAUCCCGUAUGUGACUGGGUGCUUUUGCCUAUGUAAAGCUCUUUCGACGAGUCGAGUUGUUUGGGAAUGCAGCUCAAAAUGGGUGGUAUAUUUCAUCUAAAGCUAAAUAUUGGCCAGAGACCGAUAGCGCACAAGUAGAGUGAUCGAAAGAUGAAAAGCACUUUGGAAAGAGAGUUAAACAGUACGUGAAAUUGUUGAAAGGGAAGCGCUUGCAACCAGACUUGCACGCGGUUGAUCAUCCAGGCUUCUGUUUGGUGCACUCGACCGUGUUCAGGCCAGCAUCGGUUUUGGUGGUUGGAUAAAGGCCUUGGGAAUGUAGCUUCUUUCGGGGAGUGUUAUAGCCCUCGGUGCAAUGCAGCCUACCGGGACCGAGGACCGCGCUUCGGCUAGGAUGCUGGCGUAAUGGUUGUAAGCGACCCGUCUUGAAACACGGACCAAGGAGUCUAACAUCUAUGCGAGUGUUUGGGUGUCAAACCCAUACGCGUAAUUAACGUGAACGGAGGUAAGAACCCUUAAGGGUGCAUUAUCGACCGAUCCUGAUGUCUUCGGAUGGAUUUGAGUAAGAGCAUAGCUGUUGGGACCCGAAAGAUGGUGAACUAUGCCUGAAUAGGGUGAAGCCAGAGGAAACUCUGGUGGAGGCUCGCAGCGGUUCUGACGUGCAAAUCGAUCGUCAAAUUUGGGUAUAGGGGCGAAAGACUAAUCGA
Molecule: ribosomal RNA, 848 nt
Filed under: Pezoloma ciliiferum
Lineage: Eukaryota; Fungi; Ascomycota; Leotiomycetes; Helotiales; Discinellaceae
Description: LSU rRNA
Rfam family: Eukaryotic large subunit ribosomal RNA
Source: RNAcentral